UGUUAUAUAUUUCACAAAAGGGGCUGUUUUGGAAAUAACUCAGCAAAAGGAGGUUUACUUAGUAAAUUAAUUAAUCAAAUGUGACCAUCUUUGAUCAAUCUUUACAAAUAAGGGUUGUUUUGGCAUUACUCAAUAUUUGUAGGGGCUGAAUCGGCCAAUAGGAUCAAAUAAAAAGAGUUAGCGCUUUUGUGCCCAGCGACGGGAAAAGGCACCUCUGGUCCUUAGUUUCCUCUGAUCGAGAAGGCUAAUCACGAACGAAGCAGUGACAGGGAAGGCUCGGUGGUGGAAGACCCGUUGAGAAGAAGAGCACCUCCGGUUCCUUAUUGGUUUGUAGAGGGGGAGUAACGAAAGCAGCAAGGGAUGCUUAAGCAGCUCCUGCGCUUCUUCUGUCUCGGAAGGAAGGUGCGAAGGUGGGGAAUCAAAAGGGGGCUUCCGUCUCCGAUGUUUGCUCCGGGGAAACACCCACUUCGGUCGUUUUGCUCUCGGUGGUUGAAAGGGGUGUUUGUGUGAUUGGCACUCGACAGAAGUAGUAUGAGGAGGAGAAGUAUCAUGGCGGCCGGCAGCCUCUUCUUUUGGCCGGUGGUGAACAGGGGGAAAGAAGGAGGGCAACGUUGUAGCCAUCGAACAAGAGGGGGUGUAUUGGUAGCUCCAAUCGACAGGAAAGGGGGUAGAAGAGAGGCUGUCGCCUCCUUGUUUUCACCGGGAAUCAACACAACUCCGGUGUGUUUCUGAACAGCCAAUCUGAGAAAAAAAAAAAAAAAAAAGAGAGAGAGAGGGGUCGAGAUUUUUGUGGGAAUCAGGUGAGAAUGACUAAUUUCUGCAAUACGUUAUCUUCACUCAGAUUUUGGAUGACUUUUUGAUGGAUUUGUGGUACUUUGAAAUUCUUGGAAGGAUUUUGAGAGUACAAUACAUUCAUUGAUUCAUGCGUGUAUCAGUGUGAUAUAUUUAUUGUGUAUGUGUUAGUAUAAGUAGAAUACAUGAGUUUGUGUGAGAUUGCAGGGAGUGAAUGGUUGAUUUAGUCUAUUGUACUUGCUUGAUUUUCUAUUGACCUUGGGUGUGCACUUCAAAUCCUAUAAGAUUGUAUGUA
Non-coding RNA from Lactuca sativa (garden lettuce), 1087 nucleotides. The record is from RefSeq and is a predicted model, not a curated record. Lineage: Eukaryota; Viridiplantae; Streptophyta; Magnoliopsida; Asterales; Asteraceae.